Molecule: long non-coding RNA, 465 nt
Filed under: Mytilus galloprovincialis (Mediterranean mussel)
Lineage: Eukaryota; Metazoa; Mollusca; Bivalvia; Mytilida; Mytilidae
Source: RNAcentral
AAUCACCGGACGUGGAGGAAGGUGGACGUGUUUUCUGAGCUGACCUAUUCUGUCGCCUACACUUACCCGCACCCACUUAUUAGUUGAUUGUGUCAUUACUCAAACACUAGUGCAAGUAUUUGACAAUUUAUUGUCAUUUAAUAGCGGUUUUAGCAGAAAAUUCAUUGCGAGUGAAGGACAGGUAACAUAGCGUCACCCAGCGCCAUCUUGAAAAAAUUUCAAAACUUUCAAAGCAAAGGUGUUAAGUCUAUACUUCACCUGAAAUUAGUCUCUCCUUUCCCGGGAAACACAAGAACAAUGUGUUGCUGAUGUUUACUGAAUUUUUAAUGAACUUUUAACGAACUUUUAGUGUCCAUUAUUUUAUCCAAAUCGAGUAGUUUGAAAAUGAUCAGUAUUCUUGUGUAGUUUCACAGUCUGUGUACUCGUUCUCAUUCUUCAUUUUACCUUUUAUCGCUUGAUAAAUUU